GUCACUUUCACUAUCACUGUCACUGCCACUAUCACUAGAGCUGCCUGCCUGCCUGUCACUAUUGUCAGAGACUUUCUUCUCACCAAACAAAUCAGGUAAAUGCUGUUGGAUAUCAAUUUUUUCUAAUGUAUUUGAUUCNNNNNNUUUAGAGUUUGACUGGGCAUGUUUCUCAAAUCCAACAGCAGAGCUUUUCUCUGCAAAUCUUGAUUCUGUAGCAGGUCUGUGAUUAUGGUUGUCUUCAGGAACAAAAGUCUGCCGAUGGUCAUCUUCAGGAGAACUUCCACUUUCAGAUGAGGGUUUCUUGAAGCUUUCCAACUCCACUCCUGGUUUCGACAAAUAUCUUCCUGAAGCUUGAGAAGUUCCAAUUUUCUUCAUAAUGGGUUCUGUCUUCUUAGUAGAGUUAGGAAUUUUAUCCCCAACAACUUUCUCCAAGGCCUUCAAGCUCAUCCCUUUAGGAUCCUUACUCUGUAAAUCCAUUGGCUUAGUCCCAAAGUUCCCUUUAUGCCCAGGUGUCUCCCGUACAGCUCUAAAAGCCUUAUUAUGGAUUUCUUUCUCUGCAUUAGUCACGUUCUCUUUACUUCUAGUCUGGGUCGGUGUCACUUCUUCAAUGUUCACCUUAGACACAUUUCCAGUUCCAAACGGAGAUGCUGGAGUGACAGAUUUCUCAGGUGUACAUGGCAGAGGUGAAGAUGAGCGUCUACCCUUUACAGUAGCGGUUGAAGAAACUCCAGGUUUAAAAGUAGAUUUGGGGACUACUGAUUCAACUUUCCGUUUUUUAAAUGGAGGCUCUUUCUUUUUAAAGGGCAUCCUCCAUGGAUUAGACUCAGCAGCUGCCAAUUGCUUUAUUUGACUCUUCAUGGAUGGGUUCCCAUGAUCUAACACAAUAGCUUUGCGUGAUUUAUGUUUGCGAUCAGCUUCCUCUGACCGCAUCUUAACAUGGUUCGUGGUUGAUUCAUCCAAGAUACGUUGGACAUUCACCUUACGCCAGGCACAACCAGAUUCAACAAGCAAACCAUUUCCUUCUUCACCACUUUGUCGUUCUUCAUAAAUGUCACAGAGGUCACCAAAUUCCCUCGACCAUGUAAAUCUGAAUUCCUU
RNAcentral lists this unclassified non-coding RNA (1098 nucleotides) under Hevea brasiliensis (rubber tree). The record is from RNAcentral. Lineage: Eukaryota; Viridiplantae; Streptophyta; Magnoliopsida; Malpighiales; Euphorbiaceae.